This 612-nucleotide ribosomal RNA is filed under the name Triticum aestivum (bread wheat). Its description in RNAcentral is "partial small subunit ribosomal RNA". The record is from RNAcentral. Lineage: Eukaryota; Viridiplantae; Streptophyta; Magnoliopsida; Poales; Poaceae.
UUGGAGGACGGGCUAUGGAUGUUUGACAAAGAUCUUGUUAUGGUGGAGGACUAUGAUCCAAGCAAAAGGAUCGAGGACUACGAUUUCAAUGAAAUUCCUUUAUGGGUGAGAAUCUUCAGUCUUCCCCUUGGUAUGACGAAUGAGGAUACAGCGGAGGGGAUAGGGAACAUCAUUGGGCGGUUUGUUGAGGUGGAUGCUGGCAUGGAUGGGAAAGUGAUUGGAAAGUUCCUGCGAGUGAAGAUCAGGAUGAACAUAGGUAAACCAAUUAUGAGGGGAUUCCCCCUAGAUGAUGAGAAUGACAAGGAACCACAGAAGAGAAAGAAGAAAAUGAGUAUAGAUGGGAAGGAGGAAGAGUAGGAAGAGGGGCUCUGGUGUCGGUUUGAGUACGAAUACCUUCCUAACUUUUGCUACACAUGUUGUUUUAUUGGACAUGUCGCGAAGGAAUGUUCCAUCAGAAUGAACGAAGGAGAGAACCCUCAGUUUGGUCCUUGGCUGAGAACAUAUAUUGGGAGAAGGAGGUUUGUCAAUGAAGAUGACCGCAACUGGAAGGCAAAAGGUGGUAGUGUGGGAGGGAACCAGAACUAUGGGUAUAGCCGUUCGAGUGGAAGAUGA